This 2903-nucleotide ribosomal RNA is filed under the name Escherichia coli. Its description in RNAcentral is "23S ribosomal RNA". It matches the Rfam family "Bacterial large subunit ribosomal RNA". Lineage: Bacteria; Pseudomonadati; Pseudomonadota; Gammaproteobacteria; Enterobacterales; Enterobacteriaceae. The record is from RNAcentral. RNAcentral also lists the same sequence under 5 other names.
GGUUAAGCGACUAAGCGUACACGGUGGAUGCCCUGGCAGUCAGAGGCGAUGAAGGACGUGCUAAUCUGCGAUAAGCGUCGGUAAGGUGAUAUGAACCGUUAUAACCGGCGAUUUCCGAAUGGGGAAACCCAGUGUGUUUCGACACACUAUCAUUAACUGAAUCCAUAGGUUAAUGAGGCGAACCGGGGGAACUGAAACAUCUAAGUACCCCGAGGAAAAGAAAUCAACCGAGAUUCCCCCAGUAGCGGCGAGCGAACGGGGAGCAGCCCAGAGCCUGAAUCAGUGUGUGUGUUAGUGGAAGCGUCUGGAAAGGCGCGCGAUACAGGGUGACAGCCCCGUACACAAAAAUGCACAUACUGUGAGCUCGAUGAGUAGGGCGGGACACGUGGUAUCCUGUCUGAAUAUGGGGGGACCAUCCUCCAAGGCUAAAUACUCCUGACUGACCGAUAGUGAACCAGUACCGUGAGGGAAAGGCGAAAAGAACCCCGGCGAGGGGAGUGAAAAAGAACCUGAAACCGUGUACGUACAAGCAGUGGGAGCCUCUUUUAUGGGGUGACUGCGUACCUUUUGUAUAAUGGGUCAGCGACUUAUAUUCUGUAGCAAGGUUAACCGAAUAGGGGAGCCGAAGGGAAACCGAGUCUUAACCGGGCGUUAAGUUGCAGGGUAUAGACCCGAAACCCGGUGAUCUAGCCAUGGGCAGGUUGAAGGUUGGGUAACACUAACUGGAGGACCGAACCGACUAAUGUUGAAAAAUUAGCGGAUGACUUGUGGCUGGGGGUGAAAGGCCAAUCAAACCGGGAGAUAGCUGGUUCUCCCCGAAAGCUAUUUAGGUAGCGCCUCGUGAAUUCAUCUCCGGGGGUAGAGCACUGUUUCGGCAAGGGGGUCAUCCCGACUUACCAACCCGAUGCAAACUGCGAAUACCGGAGAAUGUUAUCACGGGAGACACACGGCGGGUGCUAACGUCCGUCGUGAAGAGGGAAACAACCCAGACCGCCAGCUAAGGUCCCAAAGUCAUGGUUAAGUGGGAAACGAUGUGGGAAGGCCCAGACAGCCAGGAUGUUGGCUUAGAAGCAGCCAUCAUUUAAAGAAAGCGUAAUAGCUCACUGGUCGAGUCGGCCUGCGCGGAAGAUGUAACGGGGCUAAACCAUGCACCGAAGCUGCGGCAGCGACACUGUGUGUUGUUGGGUAGGGGAGCGUUCUGUAAGCCUGUGAAGGUGUACUGUAAGGUAUGCUGGAGGUAUCAGAAGUGCGAAUGCUGACAUAAGUAACGAUAAAGCGGGUGAAAAGCCCGCUCGCCGGAAGACCAAGGGUUCCUGUCCAACGUUAAUCGGGGCAGGGUGAGUCGACCCCUAAGGCGAGGCCGAAAGGCGUAGUCGAUGGGAAACAGGUUAAUAUUCCUGUACUUGGUGUUACUGCGAAGGGGGGACGGAGAAGGCUAUGUUGGCCGGGCGACGGUUGUCCCGGUUUAAGCGUGUAGGCUGGUUUUCCAGGCAAAUCCGGAAAAUCAAGGCUGAGGCGUGAUGACGAGGCACUACGGUGCUGAAGCAACAAAUGCCCUGCUUCCAGGAAAAGCCUCUAAGCAUCAGGUAACAUCAAAUCGUACCCCAAACCGACACAGGUGGUCAGGUAGAGAAUACCAAGGCGCUUGAGAGAACUCGGGUGAAGGAACUAGGCAAAAUGGUGCCGUAACUUCGGGAGAAGGCACGCUGAUAUGUAGGUGAAGUCCCUCGCGGAUGGAGCUGAAAUCAGUCGAAGAUACCAGCUGGCUGCAACUGUUUAUUAAAAACACAGCACUGUGCAAACACGAAAGUGGACGUAUACGGUGUGACGCCUGCCCGGUGCCGGAAGGUUAAUUGAUGGGGUCAGCGCAAGCGAAGCUCUUGAUCGAAGCCCCGGUAAACGGCGGCCGUAACUAUAACGGUCCUAAGGUAGCGAAAUUCCUUGUCGGGUAAGUUCCGACCUGCACGAAUGGCGUAAUGAUGGCCAGGCUGUCUCCACCCGAGACUCAGUGAAAUUGAACUCGCUGUGAAGAUGCAGUGUACCCGCGGCAAGACGGAAAGACCCCGUGAACCUUUACUAUAGCUUGACACUGAACAUUGAGCCUUGAUGUGUAGGAUAGGUGGGAGGCUUUGAAGUGUGGACGCCAGUCUGCAUGGAGCCGACCUUGAAAUACCACCCUUUAAUGUUUGAUGUUCUAACGUGGACCCGUGAUCCGGGUUGCGGACAGUGUCUGGUGGGUAGUUUGACUGGGGCGGUCUCCUCCUAAAGAGUAACGGAGGAGCACGAAGGUUGGCUAAUCCUGGUCGGACAUCAGGAGGUUAGUGCAAUGGCAUAAGCCAGCUUGACUGCGAGCGUGACGGCGCGAGCAGGUGCGAAAGCAGGUCAUAGUGAUCCGGUGGUUCUGAAUGGAAGGGCCAUCGCUCAACGGAUAAAAGGUACUCCGGGGAUAACAGGCUGAUACCGCCCAAGAGUUCAUAUCGACGGCGGUGUUUGGCACCUCGAUGUCGGCUCAUCACAUCCUGGGGCUGAAGUAGGUCCCAAGGGUAUGGCUGUUCGCCAUUUAAAGUGGUACGCGAGCUGGGUUUAGAACGUCGUGAGACAGUUCGGUCCCUAUCUGCCGUGGGCGCUGGAGAACUGAGGGGGGCUGCUCCUAGUACGAGAGGACCGGAGUGGACGCAUCACUGGUGUUCGGGUUGUCAUGCCAAUGGCACUGCCCGGUAGCUAAAUGCGGAAGAGAUAAGUGCUGAAAGCAUCUAAGCACGAAACUUGCCCCGAGAUGAGUUCUCCCUGACCCUUUAAGGGUCCUGAAGGAACGUUGAAGACGACGACGUUGAUAGGCCGGGUGUGUAAGCGCAGCGAUGCGUUGAGCUAACCGGUACUAAUGAACCGUGAGGCUUAACCUU